ACACUGAGGAUUGACAGGCAAUAUAUGCCACUCUUCGGAGUUUGCAUUGUUAAAUAUGCUAGUCCUUUCAUGAUUAUGUGAUAGGUGGUGCAUGGCCGUUCUUAGUUCGUGGAGUGAUCUGUCUGCUUAAUUGCGUUUCAAAUUACUUAUAAGGUAGCAAUACGCGAUGAAGCUUUCAAUAGUCCUCACGGAUUCACUUGAGUCUCUCGCUUCGCUAUCCUUUCGAAUGCAACGAACGUGACCGCAACCUCUUGUUGCCUUCGUUUAACAUCCUGCAGCUCGCUGUGGGUACUGAGGGCUUCACUCGGUGACUUUGGGCUGAGCAAUCGGUCUCUUUUGAUCGAGUAAACUAGAGGGACCGCUG
RNAcentral lists this ribosomal RNA (364 nucleotides) under Globigerinita uvula. Its description in RNAcentral is "SSU rRNA". It matches the Rfam family "Eukaryotic small subunit ribosomal RNA", at positions 1230 to 1425 of the family's 1831-position model. Lineage: Eukaryota; Foraminifera; Rotaliida; Globigerinitidae. The record is from RNAcentral.